AGGAGAUCUUACCUGCCCAGUGAUUUUAUUAAACGGCCGCGGUAUUCUGACCGUGCUAAGGUAGCGCAAUCACUUGUCUUUUAAAUAAAGACCCGUAUGAAUGGUUGGACGAGGGCUUUACUGUCUCCCCUCUCAAGUCAAUGAAAUUGAUCUGCCCGUGCAGAAGCGGACAUAAUAAUACAAGACGAGAAGACCCUUUGGAGCUUUAGACAACACCCAACUGUGUUAAAACUUUCCGUCAAAGAAAACUAAACUAAACAACAACUGGCCAAUGUCUUCGGUUGGGGCGACCGCGGGGAAAAACAAAACCCCCAUGUGGAGUGGGAUAUUUCCUAAAACCAAGAGGGACACCUCCAAGACACAGAAUUUCUGACCCAAAGAUCCGGCAACCGCCGAUUAACGAACUAAGUUACCCAAGGGAUAACAGCGCAAUCCCCUCCAAGAGUCCCUAUCGACAAGGGGGUUUACGACCUCGAUGUUGGAUCAGGACAUCCUAAUGGUGCAGCCGCUAUUAAGGGUUCGUUUGUUCAACGAUUAAAGUCCUACGUG
This 549-nucleotide ribosomal RNA is filed under the name Piabucus melanostoma. RNAcentral describes it as "partial 16S ribosomal RNA". It matches the Rfam family "Bacterial large subunit ribosomal RNA", at positions 1847 to 2602 of the family's 2925-position model. Lineage: Eukaryota; Metazoa; Chordata; Actinopteri; Characiformes; Iguanodectidae. The record is from RNAcentral.